RNAcentral lists this ribosomal RNA (301 nucleotides) under uncultured bacterium. Its description in RNAcentral is "partial 16S ribosomal RNA". It matches the Rfam family "Bacterial small subunit ribosomal RNA", at positions 509 to 807 of the family's 1533-position model. The record is from RNAcentral.
CAGUCGCCGCGGUAAUACGUAGGUGGCAAGCGUUGUCCGGAAUUAUUGGGCGUAAAGGGCUCGCAGGCGGUUUCUUAAGUCUGAUGUGAAAGCCCCCGGCUCAACCGGGGAGGGUCAUUGGGAACUGGGAAACUUGAGUGCAGAAGAGGAGAGUGGAAUUCCACGUGUAGCGGUGAAAUGCGUAGAGAUGUGGAGGAACACCAGUGGCGAAGGCGACUCUCUGGUCUGUAACUGACGCUGAGGCACGAAAGCGUGGGGAGCAAACAGGAUUAGAUACCCCAGUAGUCCCUGUCUCUUAUAC